RNAcentral lists this unclassified non-coding RNA (335 nucleotides) under soil metagenome. RNAcentral's name for it is "partial contains 5.8S ribosomal RNA, internal transcribed spacer 2, and large subunit ribosomal RNA". The stretch from base 1 to 120 matches the Rfam family "5.8S ribosomal RNA", at positions 35 to 154 of the family's 154-position model. The record is from RNAcentral.
GAUGAAGAACGCAGCGAAAUGCGAUAAGUAAUGUGAAUUGCAGAAUUCAGUGAAUCAUCGAAUCUUUGAACGCACAUUGCGCCCGCCAGUAUUCUGGCGGGCAUGCCUGUUCGAGCGUCAUUUCAACCAUCAAGCCCCCGGCUUGUGUUGGGGACCUGCGGCUGCCGCAGGCCCUGAAAACCAGUGGCGGGCUCGCUAGUCACUCCGAACGUAGUAGUUACAUCUCGCUCAGGGCGUGCUGCGGGUUCCGGCCGUUAAAAGCCUUAUUUACCCAAGGUUGACCUCGGAUCAGGUAGGAAGACCCGCUGAACUUAAGCAUAUCAAUAAGCGGAGGA